AUUAUACAGUUAUUUUAUUUUUUUCUUGUAUUAGAUCAUCAUACAGUUAUGAAAUCAGACCUGGGCCACAAUGAUGUGACAUAAAGCUUCUCUGACUAUUGUGAGCAUAGUGUUCCUGUUUCAGCAAAGCAUUAUGGUCUGUGUAGUUCUGUGGAAGUUUUUGAAACUACACAAAGGUUCUGUAUCACAUGUGUAAGUAUAUUUGCUUUGUAUCUAUCAGGGUGAUUACAAUUAACUAAAACUAUCACUAACAAGCAUGAAAAAACAAUCAGUAAUAAAAGAGCAAUAAAAAUAGAAACACCAAAUUUCAAGAACACAGAAAUGAAAUCCAAACUGUGAUGUCUACUGCAAAGCUGACAAAAAAAAUAGAAUUACUGAGUCUGAAUGAGAGUUUAGAAGUGGAACUCUUCUCUGUUUGGCUGUUUUUAAAGAAAGAGCACGACUACAUUCAGAUUUCAAAACUGUAAUAACCCUGAAAUCUGCAUGAUCAGUCAGUGUAGUUUAAUUGGUGUUAAUUAAAUGAGGUUAACGGUUAAACAGUAAAUAAAUGGCAGCGCAUAUGAAGUGGGUGUAAUUUCUUGGUGGGCGUAACUUUGACUGCACAGAAAAAGGGAAGGAAACCAGUGUGUGAGAAUCAGUUAAAAACACUGAACACUCAUCCAUCCCUCACACACACUCUGCUCACACACUCUGCACUGUCCACUCAGGUACACAGCUGUGAGAAGACUUUACAGAAGAAUUGAAAGUGGAAUCAUGAGCUCUGAAUGUGGGACGUUACUCAUCAUCCUGCUGUGUAUUUCAGGCUGUCUGGGUGAGAGUUUCAGUGUGUCCUGCAGUCCUGAGACUAUCUGUGCUCUGCAGGGGUCAGAGGUCGAGCUGACAUGUUCUUACCCAAAAAACACCAAAACUGUCUUCUGGUUCAGCUUUAAACAGAAAGCUAA
Colossoma macropomum (tambaqui) is the source of this 941-nucleotide long non-coding RNA. RefSeq lists it as uncharacterized. The record is from RefSeq and is a predicted model, not a curated record. Lineage: Eukaryota; Metazoa; Chordata; Actinopteri; Characiformes; Serrasalmidae. The transcript is spliced from 3 exons.